GAAUUGUAUAAAGUAGUGGUGUUGGUCUCUCUCUAUCCACACACUUUCACUUCUUUAUUUCCUCUCUUCUUUUUCGCCCCCUUUAACACACCCAACCAUUCCAUUCUCAUCUUUUCUUUUCUUUUUUUGAGUCUAAAUAAGCAAGCCCAGACACAGAGAGAUAGUGUAGGACUGGCUCUCCCAACCAUGGAAGCUUUUAGUUUGCUCAAGUACUGGCAAGGUGGUGGCGCACCCCUUCCACCUCCCUCUACCGCCUCCGCCUCCGCCGCCGCCACUACCACCAUUCUCCGUCAGCACAAUAAUGCAACUGACAGCACAAUAAUCACUUAUUCUAGCUGUGUGCGGAUGGAAAUGGUGGAAGGACUUGAACCUCUUCGAUAUAAAGAUUUACCAAUUUUCAAUCUGUGAGAAUCUGCAGCUGAUAUCAUGUUGAAGAUGAUGCCUAAUGAUGACUUCAAUGAGAGUGAUUCAACUGUUUGUUUCACCAUGAGCUCAGUUGAAGAUUUGCCCGGGUUGAAAAUUGGUAGAUCUUUAAUCCGAAGAAAGAAGAAGAAGAAAAGAAGAAUCAUCGUCCGAAGAAGACGAAGAGGAAUCAUCGUCCAAAGACUAUACAAUUGGAUAGGUAUUGAAACAAGUGUAAGGCGCAUUUCAUUCUAAAUUGAAUAGGAAAUUCUAUACAAUGUUUGAUUGCCUUUGAUGCUAGUAUCAGUUAAUAAAAUACACAAUUUUGGCACCUCCACUCAGCUUUAACAAACUUUAUUCUAGCAACACUGAUAGCAUGCCAUACUGAUAAAUGUGCUAAUGUGGUAAAUUUUGGGGGUCAGUGAAGGCCGAGAAAUUACUACUUCAGUCUUCUUCUGUUGUUAUUCAUGUUGCUUCAGAUUUUACUAUUGGUGGAUGUAAGGGGCAAGUCCUUCCGAUGGUUGUUGGCGAUGUAGUCAUUUAUGCUUUUUAACUUGAUUCAUACUUUUCUUUAAAGCAAUUAAGGUAAUCUUGCUAAUCUAUUACCAGAAUUGUCUCUUUUCAAUUAGUUUUUAUGUCUAUUAAUUACUUAUGUUGAUUGUAAAUUUUUGGAUGGUGAUGUAUUUGAAUGGAGCAGUUCUUAUUCUGCAGUUAGGUGUCCUUUUGAACUGUGAUUCUCAGCAUACUAUUCAUCCUACUCUAUUAAAGAGUGAACAUUGGAAGUGAUAUAUAUUCACAAAAUAGUCACACUGAGGAAAAUGUAAGUCAUAUAGCCCCUAACACUUGUCCAUAACUAUACAUGCUUGCCUUUUAUGUAUCUACUUGAUAUUUCUUAUUAUGGUCUUGAAGUAGUUGUUGAUUCACCUAAUCCAACUCUUUUAUAAAGUUUUCAUUAGAGGGAGUUCUUGCUGUCUUGGACAGUUCGACUUGGUCUUAUGUUUGCUUCCCCAGAGACAAUUCAGCUUGCCUCUAUGAAGUGUCAUGGUGAUUGAUUAUUUGCAAAACAAGAAGUUUGAUCAAUUGUGAUAGGUCUUAGGUUGUAGCCUCUCUUCUUCACUGGAAAAGGAAAUGCUUUGAUAAAUAGUGUGGAAAUCGUUGGAAAUCGUUGGAAUUCGGAGCAUCUAUGUUCAUCAACCACUGGAUAGUUGGUGCUAGUAAUGCUAAUAGUCAAUUUAUUAGGUUUUGUAACACUAGGAUGAUUUACUACAAAUUAAACUAUGAAGAUGUCUUACCGCACAGGCAGAGUAAAAUGCAGGAGAAUCCAGCGUGAAGCCAAUCCUUACCAAUGCCUGGAAACAUAUUCGGCAAAGUUAUUUAGAGUUGCAUCCAACAUUACACAUAAACUAAGGAACUCAACAUUUUGUUGAUACAGCUUGGGAAGUACUAAUAAGAACCAUAAGCUCGUCUGGCUAAGCAAAACCAGUGACACGAUAAACAGAACAUCUUUGAAAUCAUUCUUAAAAUAUACCUCAAAAACGUCAUCAAGGACAAGAAAGCCACGACCCCUGCAUCAAUGAACCGAACAAGAAGUGUUAUAAUGCAGAAUCAAGUGAUCAUCCAAGGCGAUAUGACCGCACAAUUAUACUGACAAGCUAGAGUUUAGACAUAACAAGCUAUAGGCCACAGUAAUAUCGAUCCAAAAUAAGCAUGAACUAAUUCAUUAUAAA
Molecule: long non-coding RNA, 2129 nt
Organism: Arachis ipaensis
Lineage: Eukaryota; Viridiplantae; Streptophyta; Magnoliopsida; Fabales; Fabaceae
Source: RefSeq, a predicted model, not a curated record